Molecule: ribosomal RNA, 497 nt
Filed under: uncultured bacterium
Lineage: Bacteria
Description: partial 16S ribosomal RNA
Rfam family: Bacterial small subunit ribosomal RNA
Source: RNAcentral
GAUGAACGCUGGCGGCGUGCCUAAUACAUGCAAGUAGAACGCUGAAGGAAGGAGCUUGCUCUUUCCGGAUGAGUUGCGAACGGGUGAGUAACGCGUAGGUAACCUGCUUGGUAGUGGGGGAUAACUAUUGGAAACGAUAGCUAAUACCGCAUAACAGUAGAUGUUGCAUGAUAUCUACUUAAAAGGUGCAAUUGCACCACUACCAGAUGGACCUGCGUUGUAUUAGCUAGUUGGUGAGGUAACGGCUCACCAAGGCGACGAUACAUAGCCGACCUGAGAGGGUGGUCGGCCAGACUGGGAGUGUGACACGGCCCAUACGGCUACGGGAGGCAGCAGUAGGGAAUCUGCGGCAAUGGGCGGAAGACUGUGCGAGCAACGCCGCGUGAGGGUGGAGGAUCUUCGGGUCGUGAAGCUCUGUUGUAAGGGAGGAACGAGUGUGAGCGUGGGAAGAUGAGACUGUGACGGUAACUUAUAAGAAAGGAACGGCUAACUACGUG